GCGCGGUUAGCUCAGCUGGAUAGAGCGUUGGCCUCCGGAGCCAAAGGUCGAAGGUUCGAAUCCUUCAUCGCGCGCCA
This 77-nucleotide transfer RNA is filed under the name Magnetococcales bacterium. RNAcentral describes it as "tRNA-Arg". It matches the Rfam family "tRNA". From Rfam's summary of the family: Transfer RNA (tRNA) molecules are approximately 80 nucleotides in length. Their secondary structure includes four short double-helical elements and three loops (D, anti-codon, and T loops). The record is from RNAcentral. Lineage: Bacteria; Pseudomonadati; Pseudomonadota; Magnetococcia; Magnetococcales.